UGAGAUCUCUGUGGAUAUUCAGACUUAGA
This 29-nucleotide non-coding RNA is filed under the name Mus musculus (house mouse). The record is from RNAcentral. Lineage: Eukaryota; Metazoa; Chordata; Mammalia; Rodentia; Muridae.